UCAGAAUUUUGAAUGAACUGCAAUAGAAACAGCCAAGUCACAGUUAUAUCAACACACAUAUUUAGACAUACGUUUAUGUAUUCCGACAGUAACAGUUUAAGGUGUUAUAUAACUUUUCAUAUAUUCUACACGUUAUGUCGUUUUUGUUUGUUUUGUUUUUUUUAGUCUGUGUCUUUUCAUAAAAUAGGUGUAAUUGAGAGUAAAUGAACUAGCGUUCCUCUAGCACCAGGAACAUAUUCUAAUUGUCGAAUAUUAUUUUGUGUUUUAUCGGUUGUAGUUGUAAUUCUAUUUUUCAUUUUCUAUUCGUAUGUAAAAGUAAGUAUGAUUAAUCACCCAGUUGAUUUGUAUGGUUUUAGUU
This 358-nucleotide long non-coding RNA is filed under the name Mytilus galloprovincialis (Mediterranean mussel). The record is from RNAcentral. Lineage: Eukaryota; Metazoa; Mollusca; Bivalvia; Mytilida; Mytilidae.